RNAcentral lists this unclassified non-coding RNA (20 nucleotides) under Mus musculus (house mouse). RNAcentral describes it as "oocyte_clustered_small_RNA6287". The record is from RNAcentral. Lineage: Eukaryota; Metazoa; Chordata; Mammalia; Rodentia; Muridae.
GAGGCAGCGCAAAGUGGCCA